Molecule: transfer RNA, 72 nt
Filed under: Candidatus Moraniibacteriota bacterium
Lineage: Bacteria; Candidatus Moraniibacteriota
Description: Candidatus Moranbacteria bacterium tRNA-Glu
Rfam family: tRNA
About the family: Transfer RNA (tRNA) molecules are approximately 80 nucleotides in length. Their secondary structure includes four short double-helical elements and three loops (D, anti-codon, and T loops). Further hydrogen bonds mediate the characteristic L-shaped molecular structure. tRNAs have two regions of fundamental functional importance: the anti-codon, which is responsible for specific mRNA codon recognition, and the 3' end, to which the tRNAs corresponding amino acid is attached (by aminoacyl-tRNA synthetases). tRNAs cope with the degeneracy of the genetic code in two manners: having more than one tRNA (with a specific anti-codon) for a particular amino acid; and 'wobble' base-pairing, i.e. permitting non-standard base-pairing at the 3rd anti-codon position.
Source: RNAcentral
GGUCUCAUCGUUUAGCGGUCAGGACACCAGGUUCUCAUUUUGGUAACACGGGUUCGACUUCCGUUGAGGCUA